GUGAGGAAUUUUGCGCAAUGGGGGCAACCCUGACGCAGCAACGCCGCGUGAGUGAAGAAGGCCUUUGGGUCGUAAAGCUCUGUCAACCGGGAAGAAGUUAUGCAUCAUGAAUAGUGAUGCAUAUUGACGGUACCGGUGGAGGAAGCGCCGGCUAACUCCGUGCCAGCAGCCGCGGUAACACGGGGGGCGCAAGCGUUAUUCGGAAUUAUUGGGCGUAAAGGGCGCGUAGGCGGUUCUGUCGGUCAGAUGUGAAAGCCCGGGGCUCAACCCUGGAAGUGCAUUUGAAACAGCAGAACUUGAGUACGGGAGAGGAAAGCGGAAUUCCUGGUGUAGAGGUGAAAUUCGUAGAUAUCAGGAGGAACACCGAUGGCGAAGGCAGCUUUCUGGACCGAUACUGACGCUGAGGCGCGAAGGCGUGGGUAGCGAACGGGAUUAGAAACCCUAGUAGUCC
This 451-nucleotide ribosomal RNA is filed under the name uncultured bacterium. Its description in RNAcentral is "bacterial SSU rRNA". It matches the Rfam family "Bacterial small subunit ribosomal RNA", at positions 354 to 796 of the family's 1533-position model. The record is from RNAcentral.